Molecule: ribosomal RNA, 253 nt
Filed under: uncultured bacterium
Lineage: Bacteria
Description: partial 16S ribosomal RNA
Rfam family: Bacterial small subunit ribosomal RNA
Source: RNAcentral
UACGUAGGGUGCAAGCGUUGUCCGGAAUUAUUGGGCGUAAAGAGCUCGUAGGCGGUCUGUCGCGUCGGAUGUGAAAAUCCAGGGCUCAACCCUGGACCUGCAUUCGAUACGGGCAGACUAGAGUUCGGCAGGGGAGACUGGAAUUCCUGGUGUAGCGGUGAAAUGCGCAGAUAUCAGGAGGAACACCGGUGGCGAAGGCGGGUCUCUGGGCCAUUACUGACGCUGAGGAGCGAAAGCGUGGGGAGCGAACAGG